Molecule: ribosomal RNA, 467 nt
Filed under: uncultured bacterium
Lineage: Bacteria
Description: partial 16S ribosomal RNA
Rfam family: Bacterial small subunit ribosomal RNA
Source: RNAcentral
GACGAACGCUGGCGGCGUGCUUAACACAUGCCAGUCGAACGGAAAGGCUCCAGCUUGCUGGAGUACUCGAGUGGCGAACGGGUGAGUAACACGUGGGUAAUCUGCCCUGCACUCUGGGAUAAGCCUGGGAAACUGGGUCUAAUACUGGAUAUGACCUUUCUCCUUAUAGGGUUUGGUGGAAAGUUUUUCGGUGUAGGAUGAGCCCGCGGCCUAUCAGCUUGUUGGUGGGGUGAUGGCCUACCAAGGCGACGACGGGUAGCCGGCCUGAGAGGGUGAUCGGCCACAUUGGGACUGAGAUACGGCCCAGACUCCUACGGGAGGCAGCAGUGGGGAAUAUUGCACAAUGGGCGGAAGCCUGAUGCAGCGACGCCGCGUGAGGGAUGACGGCCUUCGGGUUGUAAACCUCUUUCAGCAGGGACGAAGCGUAAGUGACGGUACCUGCAGAAGAAGCACCGGCUAACUAUGUG